GAUGAACGCUAGCGGCAGGCUUAACACAUGCAAGUCGAGGGGUAUGGUUCUUCGGAACCAGAGACCGGCGCACGGGUGCGUAACGCGUAUGCAAUCUACCUUUUACAGAGGGAUAGCCCAGAGAAAUUUGGAUUAAUACCUCAUAGUAUUAUGAAAUGGCAUCAUUUUAUAAUUAAAGUCACAACGGUAAAAGAUGAGCA
This 200-nucleotide ribosomal RNA is filed under the name uncultured bacterium. RNAcentral describes it as "partial 16S ribosomal RNA". It matches the Rfam family "Bacterial small subunit ribosomal RNA", at positions 28 to 231 of the family's 1533-position model. The record is from RNAcentral.